UGAGGAAUAUUGGUCAAUGGCCGGAAGACUGAACCAGCCAAGCCGCGUGGAGGAAGAAGGCGCAGAGCGUCGCAGACUCCUUUUGUCGGGGGACAAACGGCCGCACGCGUGCGGCUCUGAGGGUAUCCGAAGAAAAAGCAUCGGCUAACUCCGUGCCAGCAGCCGCGGUAAUACGGAGGAUGCGAGCGUUAUCCGGAUUCAUUGGGUUUAAAGGGUGCGUAGGCGGCGUCUUAAGCCGGCGGUGAAAUCGCGGGGCUCAACCCCGCCGAGCCGUCGGAACUGGGAUGCUCGAGUGUCGGCGAGGCAUGCGGAAUGCGCGGUGUAGCGGUGAAAUGCAUAGAUAUCGCGCAGAACCCCGAUUGCGAAGGCAGCGUGCCAGCCGCCCACUGACGCUGAGGCACGAAAGCGCGGGUAUCGAACAGGAUUAGAUACC
Molecule: ribosomal RNA, 433 nt
Filed under: uncultured bacterium
Lineage: Bacteria
Description: bacterial SSU rRNA
Rfam family: Bacterial small subunit ribosomal RNA
Source: RNAcentral